This 313-nucleotide long non-coding RNA is filed under the name Salmo salar (Atlantic salmon). RNAcentral's name for it is "lncRNA (ENSSSAG00000091989.1)". The record is from RNAcentral. Lineage: Eukaryota; Metazoa; Chordata; Actinopteri; Salmoniformes; Salmonidae.
CUGGACGCCGUGCCUGGACUGGACAUCGGCGCAGAGGAAGGCUCCUGCCAUGGAGCGGGACUGGACGCCGUGCCUGGACGCCGUGCCUGGACUGGGCACCGGCGCAGAGGAAGACUCCGGCCUUGGAGCUGGACUGGACGCCGUGCCUGGACUGGGCACCGGCGCAGAGGAAGACUCCGGCCUUGGAGCUGGACUGGACACCGUGCCUGGACUGGGCACCGGCGCAAAGGAGGGCUCCGGCCUGUGGACUGUCGUAGGAGGUUCCGGACUGUGGACCGUCGUAGGAGGUUCCGGACUGUGGACCGUCGCAGGA